This 465-nucleotide ribosomal RNA is filed under the name uncultured bacterium. RNAcentral's name for it is "bacterial SSU rRNA". It matches the Rfam family "Bacterial small subunit ribosomal RNA", at positions 28 to 507 of the family's 1533-position model. The record is from RNAcentral.
GACGAACGCUGGCGGCACGCCUAACACAUGCAAGUCGAACGGUGAAGAGAAGCUUGCUUCUCGGAUCAGUGGCGGACGGGUGAGUAACAUGUGAGGAACCUGCCUUUCAGAGGGGGAUAACGUUUGGAAACGAACGCUAAUACCGCAUAACAUAUUCGGACGGCAUCGUCUGAAUAUCAAAGGAGCAAUCCGCUGAAAGAUGGCCUCGCACCUGAUUAGAUAGUUGGUGAGGUAACGGCUCACCAAGUCGACGAUCAGUAGCCGGACUGAGAGGUUGAACGGCCACAUUGGGACUGAGACACGGCCCAGACUCCUACGGGAGGCAGCAGUGGGGGAUAUUGCGCAAUGGGGGAAACCCUGAUGCAGCGACGCCGCGUGAAGGAUGAAGGUCUUCGGAUCGUAAACUUUUGUCUUCAGGGACGAUAAUGACGGUACCUGAGGAGGAAGCCACGGGCUAACUACGUG